Molecule: long non-coding RNA, 895 nt
Filed under: Homo sapiens (human)
Lineage: Eukaryota; Metazoa; Chordata; Mammalia; Primates; Hominidae
Description: novel transcript, antisense to RAB11FIP2
Source: RNAcentral
GCUAGACAAGGAGGGCUCUGCAAACAUAUGGCGUGGCCUGGGGCUGUCAGACAGUAGUGUCGCUGCAGGACACGGAGGAGACUGGCAGCGAGGCAGCAGGGUCGGCAGGAGCCCAUAAAGGUUCUGAUGACGCAUUCCUCAGGCCCAAUCCGUAGAGCAGGAGGAAUCUAACUGGUGUCCGAGAAGAUGUGUUUGACCUAUGGUGCCAGCCUUCAGUUUCUCAGAAGACAUAUGGGACCCAGAUAAAUCAGACAUUGAAUGCGCUGACGAGAGUCGCUGAGGACCCAAGAGAAAAGGCUUUUUUGGUUUGGAUUUCAUCUGUAUUUCACCACUUGAAAAUUCACUAUUGGCAUCGGGCAUGUAUAGACUCCCAUCAAGGCACACUGACCCUGAAAAAUGGCUGAGCUAAAAUAAAAGCUGUGUUUAUAACGCUGAAACGAAAUACUGAGUUCUAAAUCUGGUGAUUUAUCUUUUGACAGCUACAAAGUGCGACACAUCAACAUUACAUUGCCAGAUUUAAUUUCUCAUCUUCCAUUUCAUUGAUAAUUGUAAGGUUUAAAAUCCAUAACAAUUUAUAUGAAGUUCUAGUUGGUCAAUACUGUGAUCCAGUCCUCAUACUGAAACAAUGUUAACUUACUUAAAAUCCACCACAAAAUAUUCAAUUAUUUGACAGAUGUUUAACAGAAAGAAUAAGGGAUCAUUAAUGAUUCCAUUUAAAAAAUAUUUCAUCACGAGUGCUACUUUUACUUCAGAUUCAUGCAAAUAUGGUGCUUAAAACUGGAUCAUAUUUCAAUCCAAAAACCAACGCCCGAAGUAUACGGAUAAUUUCCAAGAACAGAAAAACCAUAAAUAAGAUAUAAACUCCCCCAAAUUCAAAAUAAAUUACAUAACUUAC